RNAcentral lists this long non-coding RNA (401 nucleotides) under Fukomys damarensis (Damara mole-rat). RNAcentral's name for it is "lncRNA (ENSFDAG00000027079.1)". The record is from RNAcentral. Lineage: Eukaryota; Metazoa; Chordata; Mammalia; Rodentia; Bathyergidae.
AACUACCUGCAGGUGAAAGCAUGUCCCUUGUGUCAUAAUGCUCUACUGUCUGACUCAACAGAACAGGAACACAAGCAUACUGAGAACACCCUUGCACUCUGUGCGGUUAAAAUCUUUGCCAAGUGGGACAAAAGAUAGUGGACAGAAGCAUGUUUGAAACGGAACAACGUAUUGACUUUGGAAGAAAACAUGCUGGGUCCAGUCUACAUAGAAGGUAGGCACAAUGGUGCCACUUCAGUGCAAGUCUCAAUGGAACUAUCUGGAAUCUUGGGUAAAUGCCUUCAACUCCCUAGUACCUACUUCAGUUUCUUGAGUCACUGGGUCAUUGUAAGGAUUAAAUGAGAUAAUGCGUAUAGAAGUGCAUUGUGAAGAGUAAUGUUAGUGUCUCUUCUAUACCAGGC